This 1539-nucleotide ribosomal RNA is filed under the name Klebsiella pneumoniae. RNAcentral describes it as "bacterial SSU rRNA". It matches the Rfam family "Bacterial small subunit ribosomal RNA". The record is from RNAcentral. Lineage: Bacteria; Pseudomonadati; Pseudomonadota; Gammaproteobacteria; Enterobacterales; Enterobacteriaceae.
AAAUUGAAGAGUUUGAUCAUGGCUCAGAUUGAACGCUGGCGGCAGGCCUAACACAUGCAAGUCGAGCGGUAGCACAGAGAGCUUGCUCUCGGGUGACGAGCGGCGGACGGGUGAGUAAUGUCUGGGAAACUGCCUGAUGGAGGGGGAUAACUACUGGAAACGGUAGCUAAUACCGCAUAAUGUCGCAAGACCAAAGUGGGGGACCUUCGGGCCUCAUGCCAUCAGAUGUGCCCAGAUGGGAUUAGCUAGUAGGUGGGGUAACGGCUCACCUAGGCGACGAUCCCUAGCUGGUCUGAGAGGAUGACCAGCCACACUGGAACUGAGACACGGUCCAGACUCCUACGGGAGGCAGCAGUGGGGAAUAUUGCACAAUGGGCGCAAGCCUGAUGCAGCCAUGCCGCGUGUGUGAAGAAGGCCUUCGGGUUGUAAAGCACUUUCAGCGGGGAGGAAGGCGAUAAGGUUAAUAACCUUGUCGAUUGACGUUACCCGCAGAAGAAGCACCGGCUAACUCCGUGCCAGCAGCCGCGGUAAUACGGAGGGUGCAAGCGUUAAUCGGAAUUACUGGGCGUAAAGCGCACGCAGGCGGUCUGUCAAGUCGGAUGUGAAAUCCCCGGGCUCAACCUGGGAACUGCAUUCGAAACUGGCAGGCUAGAGUCUUGUAGAGGGGGGUAGAAUUCCAGGUGUAGCGGUGAAAUGCGUAGAGAUCUGGAGGAAUACCGGUGGCGAAGGCGGCCCCUGGACAAAGACUGACGCUCAGGUGCGAAAGCGUGGGGAGCAAACAGGAUUAGAUACCCUGGUAGUCCACGCCGUAAACGAUGUCGAUUUGGAGGUUGUGCCCUUGAGGCGUGGCUUCCGGAGCUAACGCGUUAAAUCGACCGCCUGGGGAGUACGGCCGCAAGGUUAAAACUCAAAUGAAUUGACGGGGGCCCGCACAAGCGGUGGAGCAUGUGGUUUAAUUCGAUGCAACGCGAAGAACCUUACCUGGUCUUGACAUCCACAGAACUUUCCAGAGAUGGAUUGGUGCCUUCGGGAACUGUGAGACAGGUGCUGCAUGGCUGUCGUCAGCUCGUGUUGUGAAAUGUUGGGUUAAGUCCCGCAACGAGCGCAACCCUUAUCCUUUGUUGCCAGCGGUCCGGCCGGGAACUCAAAGGAGACUGCCAGUGAUAAACUGGAGGAAGGUGGGGAUGACGUCAAGUCAUCAUGGCCCUUACGACCAGGGCUACACACGUGCUACAAUGGCAUAUACAAAGAGAAGCGACCUCGCGAGAGCAAGCGGACCUCAUAAAGUAUGUCGUAGUCCGGAUUGGAGUCUGCAACUCGACUCCAUGAAGUCGGAAUCGCUAGUAAUCGUAGAUCAGAAUGCUACGGUGAAUACGUUCCCGGGCCUUGUACACACCGCCCGUCACACCAUGGGAGUGGGUUGCAAAAGAAGUAGGUAGCUUAACCUUCGGGAGGGCGCUUACCACUUUGUGAUUCAUGACUGGGGUGAAGUCGUAACAAGGUAACCGUAGGGGAACCUGCGGUUGGAUCACCUCCUUA